GAGGGUAUGGCUCAGGGGUAUGGCAUGUGCUUAGUAUGCGCGAGGUCCUGGGUUCAAUACCCAGCACCUCCA
RNAcentral lists this transfer RNA (72 nucleotides) under Camelus bactrianus (Bactrian camel). It matches the Rfam family "tRNA". From Rfam's summary of the family: Transfer RNA (tRNA) molecules are approximately 80 nucleotides in length. Their secondary structure includes four short double-helical elements and three loops (D, anti-codon, and T loops). RNAcentral also lists the same sequence under 2 other names. The record is from Rfam by way of RNAcentral. Lineage: Eukaryota; Metazoa; Chordata; Mammalia; Artiodactyla; Camelidae.